MicroRNA precursor from Chlorocebus sabaeus (green monkey), 84 nucleotides. The record is from Ensembl. Lineage: Eukaryota; Metazoa; Chordata; Mammalia; Primates; Cercopithecidae.
AAGGACUUCGGUGGGAUUUCCAAGUAGCAUCCCUUGAAUCUGCACUCAAGGGAUGCUACUCGGAAAUCCCACCGAAGUCCUUUU